RNAcentral lists this ribosomal RNA (253 nucleotides) under uncultured bacterium. Its description in RNAcentral is "partial 16S ribosomal RNA". It matches the Rfam family "Bacterial small subunit ribosomal RNA", at positions 524 to 776 of the family's 1533-position model. The record is from RNAcentral.
UACGGAGGGUGCAAGCAUUAAUCGGAUUUAUUGGGCGUAAAGGGCGCGUAGGCGGACUGAUAAGUCAGAUGUGAAAUCCCGGGGCUCAACCCCGGAACAGCAUUUGAAACUGUCGAUCUAGAGGCUAGAUGGAGAAAACGGAAUUCCACAAGUAGCGGUGAAAUGCGUAGAUAUGUGGAAGAACACCGGUGGCGAAGGCGGUUUUCUAAUUUAGACCUGACGCUGAGGCGCGAAAGCAAGGGGAUCAAACAGG